AUACGUAGGGGGCGAGCGUUGACCGGAAUGAUUGGGCGUAAAGGGCGCGCAGGCGGCGCGAUAAGACAGGAGUGAAAGCCCUGGGCUCAACCUGGGAAUUGCGUUUGAUACUGUCGCGCUUGAGUGCGGGAGAGGUGAUCGGAAUUCCAGGUGUAGCGGUGAAAUGCGUAGAGAUGGGGAGGAACACCAGUGGCGAAGGCGGGUAACUGGGCUGCAACUGACGCUGAGGCGCGAAAGUGUGGGGAGCAAACAGGAUUAGAUACCCUGGUAGUCCACACCGUAAACGAUGAAAGCUAGGUGUAAGAGAUAGAGACUCCUUUAGUGCCGUAGUCAACACAAGAAGUAUGCCGCCUGGGGAGUACGGUCGCAAGGUUGAAACUCAAAGGAAUUGACGGGG
This 397-nucleotide ribosomal RNA is filed under the name uncultured bacterium. RNAcentral describes it as "partial 16S ribosomal RNA". It matches the Rfam family "Bacterial small subunit ribosomal RNA", at positions 523 to 918 of the family's 1533-position model. The record is from RNAcentral.